This 766-nucleotide ribosomal RNA is filed under the name uncultured Granulicatella sp. Its description in RNAcentral is "bacterial SSU rRNA". It matches the Rfam family "Bacterial small subunit ribosomal RNA", at positions 28 to 776 of the family's 1533-position model. The record is from RNAcentral. Lineage: Bacteria; Bacillati; Bacillota; Bacilli; Lactobacillales; Carnobacteriaceae.
GACGAACGCUGGCGGCGUGCCUAAUACAUGCAAGUCGAACGAGAGCGACCGGUGCUUGCACUGGUCAAUCUAGUGGCGAACGGGUGAGUAACACGUGGGUAACCUGCCCAUCAGAGGGGGAUAACAUUCGGAAACGGAUGCUAAAACCGCAUAGGUCUUCGAACCGCAUGGUUUGAGGAGGAAAAGAGGCGCAAGCUUCUGCUGAUGGAUGGACCCGCGGUGCAUUAGCUAGUUGGUGAGGUAACGGCUCACCAAGGCCGUGAUGCAUAGCCGACCUGAGAGGGUGAUCGGCCACAUUGGGACUGAGACACGGCCCAAACUCCUACGGGAGGCAGCAGUAGGGAAUCUUCCGCAAUGGACGCAAGUCUGACGGAGCAACGCCGCGUGAGUGAAGAAGGUUUUCGGAUCGUAAAACUCUGUUGUUAGAGAAGAACAAGUGCUAGAGUAACUGUUAGCGCCUUGACGGUAUCUAACCAGAAAGCCACGGCUAACUACGUGCCAGCAGCCGCGGUAAUACGUAGGUGGCAAGCGUUGUCCGGAUUUAUUGGGCGUAAAGCGAGCGCAGGCGGUUUCUUAAGUCUGAUGUGAAAGCCCCCGGCUCAACCGGGGAGGGUCAUUGGAAACUGGGGAACUUGAGUGCAGAAGAGGAGAGUGGAAUUCCAUGUGUAGCGGUGAAAUGCGUAGAUAUAUGGAGGAACACCAGUGGCGAAGCGACUCUCUGGUCUGUAACUGACGCUGAGGCUCGAAAGCGUGGGUAGCAAACAGG